Molecule: small nuclear RNA, 107 nt
Filed under: Marmota marmota marmota (Alpine marmot)
Lineage: Eukaryota; Metazoa; Chordata; Mammalia; Rodentia; Sciuridae
Also listed under: 1 other name
Source: RNAcentral
GUGCUCACUUUGGCAGCACAUAUACAAAAAUUGGAAGGAUACAGAGAAGAUUAACAUGGCCCCUGCACAAGGAUGACAUGCAAAUUCAUGAAGGGUUCCUUAUUUUU